UGUACAGGGUUUAAUGUGAGGAUCUUUAAGAGUUACAUGGCUGUCAUUCAUAUAAAUAAAAAAUUCAAAGACUCUAAAACUGAUGCACGAGUAUGUCAAGUUAACAGAAAGAAGUGACUCUACAGUUUCUACUGCAUGUACUGUAUUUGUAUGUGUUGUCAGGAUGCGUUCUUUCCGGACCCUGUGCAGACGACACAAUCCAGGGUAGAGUGAGGAAAC
This is a long non-coding RNA of Lepisosteus oculatus (spotted gar), 219 nucleotides long. RefSeq lists it as uncharacterized. The record is from RefSeq and is a predicted model, not a curated record. Lineage: Eukaryota; Metazoa; Chordata; Actinopteri; Semionotiformes; Lepisosteidae.